Molecule: transfer RNA, 72 nt
Filed under: Marmota monax (woodchuck)
Lineage: Eukaryota; Metazoa; Chordata; Mammalia; Rodentia; Sciuridae
Description: tRNA.Ala
Source: RNAcentral
UGAGGUAUAGCUUGGUGGUACAGCACUUGCCUAGCAUGUGUGAGGCCCUGGGUUCCAUCUCCAGUACCAAAA